RNAcentral lists this ribosomal RNA (253 nucleotides) under uncultured bacterium. RNAcentral's name for it is "partial 16S ribosomal RNA". It matches the Rfam family "Bacterial small subunit ribosomal RNA", at positions 524 to 776 of the family's 1533-position model. The record is from RNAcentral.
UACGUAGGGUGCGAGCGUUAAUCGGAAUUACUGGGCGUAAAGCGUGCGCAGGCGGUUCGUUGUGUCGGCGGUGAAAGCCCCGGGCUCAACCUGGGAAUGGCCGUUGAAACUGGCGAACUGGAGUGUGGCAGAGGGGGGUGGAAUUCCGCGUGUAGCAGUGAAAUGCGUAGAGAUGUGGAGGAACACCGAUGGCGAAGGCAGCCCCCUGGGUUAACACUGACGCUCAGGCACGAAAGCGUGGGGAGCAAACAGG